GAUGAACGCUGGCGGCGUGCCUAAUACAUGCAAGUCGAGCGAACGGACGAGAAGCUUGCUUCUCUGAUGUUAGCGGCGGACGGGUGAGUAACACGUGGAUAACCUACCUAUAAGACUGGGAUAACUUCGGGAAACCGGAGCUAAUACCGGAUAAUAUUUUGAACCGCAUGGUUCAAAAGUGAAAGACGGUCUUGCUGUCACUUAUAGAUGGAUCCGCGCUGCAUUAGCUAGUUGGUAAGGUAACGGCUUACCAAGGCAACGAUGCAUAGCCGACCUGAGAGGGUGAUCGGCCACACUGGAACUGAGACACGGUCCAGACUCCUACGGGAGGCAGCAGUAGGGAAUCUUCCGCAAUGGGCGAAAGCCUGACGGAGCAACGCCGCGUGAGUGAUGAAGGUCUUCGGAUCGUAAAACUCUGUUAUUAGGGAAGAACAUAUGUGUAAGUAACUGUGCACAUCUUGACGGUACCUAAUCAGAAAGCCACGGCUAACUACGUGCCAGCAGCCGCGGUAAUACGUAGGUGGCAAGCGUUAUCCGGAAUUAUUGGGCGUAAAGCGCGCGUAGGCGGUUUUUUAAGUCUGAUGUGAAAGCCCACGGCUCAACCGUGGAGGGUCAUUGGAAACUGGAAAACUUGAGUGCAGAAGAGGAAAGUGGAAUUCCAUGUGUAGCGGUGAAAUGCGCAGAGAUAUGGAGGAACACCAGUGGCGAAGGCGACUUUCUGGUCUGUAACUGACGCUGAUGUGCGAAAGCGUGGGGAUCAAACAGGAUUAGAUACCCUGGUAGUCCACGCCGUAAACGAUGAGUGCUAAGUGUUAGGGGGUUUCCGCCCCUUAGUGCUGCAGCUAACGCAUUAAGCACUCCGCCUGGGGAGUACGACCGCAAGGUUGAAACUCAAAGGAAUUGACGGGGACCCGCACAAGCGGUGGAGCAUGUGGUUUAAUUCGAAGCAACGCGAAGAACCUUACCAAAUCUUGACAUCCUUUGACAACUCUAGAGAUAGAGCCUUCCCCUUCGGGGGACAAAGUGACAGGUGGUGCAUGGUUGUCGUCAGCUCGUGUCGUGAGAUGUUGGGUUAAGUCCCGCAACGAGCGCAACCCUUAAGCUUAGUUGCCAUCAUUAAGUUGGGCACUCUAAGUUGACUGCCGGUGACAAACCGGAGGAAGGUGGGGAUGACGUCAAAUCAUCAUGCCCCUUAUGAUUUGGGCUACACACGUGCUACAAUGGACAAUACAAAGGGCAGCGAAACCGCGAGGUCAAGCAAAUCCCAUAAAGUUGUUCUCAGUUCGGAUUGUAGUCUGCAACUCGACUACAUGAAGCUGGAAUCGCUAGUAAUCGUAGAUCAGCAUGCUACGGUGAAUACGUUCUCGGGUCU
Molecule: ribosomal RNA, 1372 nt
Filed under: uncultured bacterium
Lineage: Bacteria
Description: bacterial SSU rRNA
Rfam family: Bacterial small subunit ribosomal RNA
Source: RNAcentral